RNAcentral lists this long non-coding RNA (627 nucleotides) under Elaeis guineensis (African oil palm). Its description in RNAcentral is "long non-coding RNA (EGUI_LNC059199)". Lineage: Eukaryota; Viridiplantae; Streptophyta; Magnoliopsida; Arecales; Arecaceae. The record is from RNAcentral.
UGCUUUCAUGCUAGCUUAUAAUUCUUUGCAAUGCACGGGAUGUAAUUUUUUUUAAAAUAUUUUAUUUUAUUAAUCUAUUUUAUUAUAUAAAAUUAUUUUAUUUUAUUUAUCUAUUAUAUAUAUAUUCUAGCUUAUAACAUCAAUGUGAUUUUUUUCUUCAGAAUCCAGAAUUAUUUUCUAAAUUAAACUUUUGAUUACUGGCAUCCGUUGAGUCGGACUGCCUAGAGAAGGUCUCAGAACUUCCGGAGUCUUUCUUUUCUUUUCCUUUGUUUUAAUCCUUCUCUCUUUUCUUUCGUUUCUCGUUGUCUUCUAUAUCAUCGUUGCUGUAAGCAAAAUCCCGGUUCUCUAAUCACCUCUCUGCUCUCGUCUCUCUCCGAUCCUGUGCUGACGCUUCUGAUCGAUCCCUUCUCCAGUUCCGAUAACUCCCCCUUCCUCUUCCUCGACUACUCCCUUCCUCCUCCUUUCCAACACCGACACCGGCGAAACGAUGCCGCCCAAACCCUAGCCAUAACCUUCUUAAUGCCGGAAACCUAACCAUUUUCAUAGCGGAAUCGAUCUCCGAUCCCGUGCUGAUGCUUCCGAUCGAUCCCUCCCGAGGUAUCUAAUAGGAAGAUAUGAAGUUUGAGG